RNAcentral lists this ribosomal RNA (557 nucleotides) under Jaaginema minimum ISB29. RNAcentral's name for it is "bacterial SSU rRNA". It matches the Rfam family "Bacterial small subunit ribosomal RNA", at positions 102 to 692 of the family's 1533-position model. The record is from RNAcentral. Lineage: Bacteria; Bacillati; Cyanobacteriota; Cyanophyceae; Leptolyngbyales; Leptolyngbyaceae.
ACGGGUGAGUAACACGUGAGAAUCUGCCCUCAAGACGGGGACAACAGCGGGAAACUGCUGCUAAUCCCCGAUAAGCCUACGGGUGAAAAGAAAUUCGCUUGAGGAGGAGCUCGCGUCCGAUUAGCUAGUUGGUGGGGUAAAAGCUUACCAAGGCGACGAUCGGUAGCCGGUCUGAGAGGACGAUCGGCCACACUGGGACUGAGACACGGCCCAGACUCCUACGGGAGGCAGCAGUGGGGAAUUUUCCGCAAUGGGCGAAAGCCUGACGGAGCAAGACCGCGUGCGGGAGGAAGGCCUUUGGGUCGUAAACCGCUUUUCUCAGGGAAGAAGACCUGACGGUACCUGAGGAAUAAGCCUCGGCUAACUCCGUGCCAGCAGCCGCGGUAAUACGGAGGAGGCAAGCGUUAUCCGGAAUUAUUGGGCGUAAAGCGUCCGCAGGUGGCUGUUCAAGUCUGCUGUCAAAGCCCGAAGCUCAACUUCGGAGAGGCAGUGGAAACUGGGCGGCUAGAGAUCGGUAGGGGUAGAGGGAAUUCCCAGUGUAGCGGUGAAAUGCCGUA